GAUGAAGAACGCAGCGAAACGCGAUAUGUAAUGUGAAUUGCAGAAUUCAGUGAAUCAUCGAAUCUUUGAACGCACAUGGCGCCUUCCAGUAUCCUGGGAGGCAUGCCUGUCCGAGCGUCGUUUCAACCCUCGAGCCCCCGUGGCCCGGCGUUGGGGAUCUGCCACGGCAGGCCCCUAAAACCAGUGGCGGACCCGAAGGCCCUCUCCUUUGCGCAGUAGCAUCAGCCUCGCAUUGGGAUCCCUCGGCGUCCUGCCUCUAAACCCCCCACAAGUCCGCUCCGGCUGCACCAAGGUUGACCUCGGAUCAGGUAGGAAUACCCGCUGAACUUAAGCAUAUCAAUAAGCGGAGGA
Molecule: unclassified non-coding RNA, 351 nt
Filed under: soil metagenome
Description: partial contains 5.8S ribosomal RNA, internal transcribed spacer 2, and large subunit ribosomal RNA
Rfam family: 5.8S ribosomal RNA (bases 1-120)
Source: RNAcentral